UAAUACGUAGGGGGCAAGCGUUGUCCGGAUUUACUGGGCGUAAAGAGCGUGUAGGCGGCCAUGCAGGUCCGUUGUGAAAACUGGAGGCUCAACCUCCAGACGUCGACGGAAACCGCGUGGCUAGAGUCCGGAAGAGGAGAGUGGAAUUCCUGGUGUAGCGGUGAAAUGCGCAGAUAUCAGGAAGAACACCAAUGGCGAAGGCAGCUCUCUGGGACGGUACUGACGCUGAGACGCGAAAGCGUGGGGAGCGAACAGGAUUAGAUACCCUGGUAGUCCACGCCGUAAACGAUGAAUGCCAGCCGUUGGGGAGCUUGCUCCUCGGUGGCGCAGCUAACGCAUUAAGCAUUCCGCCUGGGGAGUACGAUCGCAAGAUUA
RNAcentral lists this ribosomal RNA (375 nucleotides) under uncultured bacterium. Its description in RNAcentral is "bacterial SSU rRNA". It matches the Rfam family "Bacterial small subunit ribosomal RNA", at positions 521 to 896 of the family's 1533-position model. The record is from RNAcentral.